This is a non-coding RNA of Camelina sativa (false flax), 7210 nucleotides long. NCBI's taxonomy places the organism in Eukaryota, Viridiplantae, Streptophyta, Magnoliopsida, Brassicales, Brassicaceae. The record is from RefSeq and is a predicted model, not a curated record.
AAACCCAACUAAAAUAAAACUCUCUCUGCUCUCAUCGUCUUCUUCCUUGAGAGGCGAUUUGUUGAUUCACUUCCUACGAAAUCAAGUUCAAGAGAAGAAUCAAUCAAUCUCUUGCGAGGAGAGAUCCAAAGUCUCUAGAUAAGUUCUCUUCGCUGAUUUUAUAUGAGUUUCUAGAUCUUUCUUUGCCUUUUUGAUUUUCCUGUUUUAGGGUUUUCAAUUUCGAUUGUAUUGACUCUGUUUUGUUCUUUUCAUCCUUUAGCGACGAUCAAUCGCUUCCCAGUUCCCAAGAAAUCUCCAUCUCUAGUCUGGGUAAUUCAGGGGAUGAAGUCGAUCAAGCCUUUGCCUGAGGGUGUUCAUCACUCCAAGCGUUCUGGAAUUAUGAUGUUUGACAUGACCUAAGGUUCGCAAAAGUAAAAUUCUCCCCUUCUACUUUGAUUUCUUCUUCUGGUUCUCUGGAUUUCUUCAGAUCGAUCUCUCUAUUUUCAUGUUUCUAUCUUCGUGGGUGUUGUUUCGUGCUCUGUCAAGGUUGUGGAUGAUGGAUCAGGCGUUUCCAGAGAUGAUUUGGUUUUGUUGGGAAAAAGAUACACCAUUUCAAAGUUUCAUGAUUUGGAGUCAGCCAGUGAAAAUUUUGGAUUCCAUGGAAAGGCGUUAGCGUUAGCUUCGAUAUCAGAUAAUCCCGUUACUGGAAAUAAGGACAAAAGCUAUUGGGAAGCCUGAUAUCGAAAGGUAUGGGAUGACUUUGAUGCUACUCAAUACUCCUACAUAGUUUGUGUGGCGUUAGGUUAUAAUUAUGGUUUUAAAACAAAAAUCUUACUUUCUUUGAUUUUAGUAUUUUCGGUUAUUGGUUUUCAAUUUUGUGUCUUGGGUUUCAAAAUCGUUUACUUUGCCUAUAGUUUUGUGUGUGUCUGUGUUCCUUAUAGGUUUGGUUUUCCCUUGUGUAUUAUAAGUUUUUGAUUGCUUGCCAAUUAACUAGUCUCACGUUCACUCAUAUGAUGAGCUAGUCAUAACUACAAUUGUUAUGUAUUGGUAUGCAAUACUCUUUGUCUUGUUUCUAUCGAGGUAAUCUAAAUUACCUCUCUGCUUGUCCUUGUCCCUAGUCACCUGAGCAAAAAAUACUAAUGCCUCGGUUCGGCUGAGGUAAUUUAAAUUACCUCUCUGCUUGUCCCUGCCCCUUGCAUGCAUGGGGGUUCCUAGUCACCUGAAAAUACAAAUGCCUCGGUUUCUGAGGUAAUAUAAAUUACCUCUCUGCUUGUCCCUGUCCCUACUGUCACUGUCCCUUGAAUGCAUAUGGGUUCCUACUGUCACUGUCCCUCGGUUUGGCUGAGGUAAUCUAAAUUACCUCUCAGCUUGUCCCUGUCCCUAUCGGGUUUAUGUCCCUGUCCCUUGAAUAUAUUCGGGUUUCCUAGUCACCUGAGCAAAGAAACAAAUGCCUCGGUUUGGCUGAGGUAAUCUAAAUUACCUCUCAGCUUGUCCGGUUUGAUUGUCCCUGUCCCUAUCGGUUUAUGUCCCUGUCCCUUGAAUGUAUUCGGGUUCCUAGUCACCUGAGCAAAGAAACAAAUGCCUGGGUUUGGCUAAGGUAAUUUAAAUUACCUCUCUGCUUGUCCCUGUCCCUAUCGGUUUAAUUGUCACUGUCCCUUGAAUGCAUACGGGUUUCUCGUCACCUGAGCAAAGAAAACAAAUGCCUCGGUUUGGCUGAGGUAAUUUAAAUUACCUCUCUGCUUGUCCCUUGAAUGUAUUCGGGUUCCUAGUCACCUGAGCAAAGAAACAAAUGCCUCGGUUUGGCUGAGGUAAUUUAAAUUACCUCUCUGCUUGUCCCUGUCCCUAUCGGUUUAAUUGUCACUGUCCCUUGAAUGCAUACGGGUUUCUCGUCACCUGAGCAAAGAAAACAAAUGCCUCGGUUUGGCUGAGGUAAUUUAAAUUACCUCUCUGCUUGUCCCUUGAAUGUAUUCGGGUUCCUAGUCACCUGAGCAAAGAAACAAAUGCCUCGGUUUGGCUGAGGUAAUCUUAAUUAUCUCUCAGCUUGUCCCUGUCCCUUGAAUGCAUAUGGGUUCCUAGUCACCUGAGCAAAGAAACAAAUGCCUCGGUUUGGCUGAGGUAAUUUGAAUUACCUCUCAGCUUGUCCCUGUCCCUUGAAUGCAUACGGGUUUCUCGUCACCUGAGCAAAGAAAACAAAUGCCUCGGUUUGGCUGAGGUAAUUUAAAUUACCUCUCUGACCCUGUCCCUAUCGGUUUGGUUGUCCCUGUCUCUAUAAUGCGUUCAGGUUCCUAGUCACCUGAGCAAAGAAAACAAAUGCCUCGGUUUGGCUGAGGUAAUUUAAAUUACCUCUCUGACCCUGUCCCUAUCGGUUUGGUUGUCCCUGUCUCUAUAAUGCGUUCAGGUUCCUAGUCACCUGAGCAAAGAAACAAAUGCCUCGGUUUGGCUGAGGUAAUCUAAAUUACCUCUCAGCUUGUCCCUGUCCCUGUCCCUAUCGGUUUAAUUGUCCCUGUCCCUUGAAUGCAAAUGGGUUCCUAGUCACCUGAGCAAAGAAACAAAUGCCUCGGUUUGGCUGAGGUAAUUUAAAUUACCUCUCAGCUUGUCCCUGUCCCUAUCGGUUUAUGUCCCUGUCCCUUGAAUGUAUCGGGUUCCUAGUCACCUGAGCAAAGAAACAAAUGCCUCGCUUUGGCUGAGGUAAUCUAAAGUACCUCUCAGCUUGUCCCUGUCCCUAUCGGUUUAAUUGUCCUUGUCCCUUGAAUGCAUACUAGGUCACCUGAGCAAAAAAACAAAUGCCUCGGUUUGGCUGAGGUAAUUUAAAACCUCUCAGCUUGUCCCUGUCCCUAUCGGUAUGAUUGUCCCUGUCCCUUGAAUGCAUAUGGGUCUCUCGUCACCUGAGCAAAGAAACAAAUGCCUCGGUUUGGCUGAGGUAAUCUAAAUUACCUCUCAGCUUGUCCCUGUCCCUAUCGGUUUAAUUGUCCCUGUCCCUUGAGUGCAAAUGGGUUCCUAGUCACCUGAGCAAAGAAACAAAUGCCUCGAUUUGGCUGAGGUAAUUUAAAUUACCUCUCUGCUUGUCCCUGUCCCUAUCGGUUUAUGUCCCUGUCCCUUGAAUGUAUCGGGCUCCUAGUCACCUGAGCAAAGAAACAAAUGCCUCGGUUUGGCUGAGGUAAUCUAAAUUACCUCUCAGCUUGUCCCUGUCCCUUGAAUGCAAAUGGGUUCCUAGUCACCUGAUGCUAAAAGCAAAUGCCUUGGUUGUUGAGGUAAUCUAAAUUACCUCUCAGAUUGUCCCUGGCCUUGAUCUCUGAUUAGCAAAUGAAGCAGUCCCAAAUCUUUAAACUACUUGGGUUGCAGAAGUAUGACAUCCAUGGAGCAUGCAUGAUCACGCUUACAUUUAAAUUGAGUUGUUCUCGGGUUUCUGAAGAUCGUCAUAAGAGUUUCAGGUUAUUCUUUAGCUCCCUUUGCAGUUUGCAUGCAGUUCUCGGGGGUUUUUGUCUGUUUUCGUUAAGUGUAGCCGUGUUACCAUCUAGAUGACUAUGUGACAGGAAUUUUAUUAUUGAAGAUCGUAUAGCUGGUUGGGGUUGUCAUUUCUAUUUUGAUUAAUUUAUAUGAUGUUUACAUUGUUGAAAGAGCAAACUAUUUUUUCUCUAACUAGUGUGGACUGAUUACUACAAUGAGUGUUUUGUCUGUGUUAGUUCAUAUUUGAUUCUUAGGGAAGCUUAUAUCUCUGAAAUCUCUUUUGCAUUUUAAGCUGUGGUUGUUGGUUGUCUUGUUAUUGUUGUAUACCCUUGUUUGUUUGGGUUUUCCCAGUGAUGAAAUGUCUAUGUCUUGGUAGGAUAAUUCAGUUUAUUCUGGAAGAUAGUAUAGCUGGUUGUGCUUGACAUUUUUAUUUUUGAUUAAACUAUAUUUGGUGUACACAUUGUUGAAAAAGCUUCGCUGACUAGUGUAGAAUGAUUAGUACAAUAAGUGUUGUCUUGUCUGUGUUGGUUCAUAUUUCAUUCUUAGAGAAGCUUAUGUCUGAAAUCUGUCACAGGCUUUUCUUGAUGUGAUCCAUUUGUCUUGUGGAAAGAUAGGAAGUUGUGUGCAGCGAUAAAGCUAUGCAUGUUUGGAUUUAGAGUGCAUUGUCUCACUGUGAUUCCUUAUUCCAAUUUAAAAUAUUGGGUUACCCUUUGCAUCAUGUAAUUGAUGAAACAAUCUUGCUGUUAGUUACUUUCUCGGUUUUUUCCUCUAUGGAAGUGUAUUGUGUGGUCCUUCUCUUUUGCAUUAUCAGCUGUGUUGGUUGUCUUCUUGUUAUCGUUGUAUGCCCUUGUUUGUUUGGGAUUUCCCAGUGAUGAAAAUGUCUACAGUUUGGCUGUUUUUGUUCAUUUUUCUUAUCCUAGUUAUGUUUGUUUUAAUGAUAUUGUGUGCUAUGAUCUGAUAGAUAAAUCGAAGUUCAUGAAGGAUCGUUUAUAACUUUAAGAAAAUAACAACCCCCUCCCCCCCUCGCUCUCUCUUGCUGUAAGUGUGAACCACUAUAAAUAACCCACAUAAGAUUCAGAUUAGGAGAAGAACUCUGGUUUUUCUUACUUCGUUAUUGUUUGUUUUUCUUUUUUUUCUUGUCGUCAGUUCGUUAUUGUUUGUUGAAAAGAUAAAAUUCUCACACAUAUCUUCUCUUAUGUUUGAAAAUCUUUCAAACAAAUACAAUUACAAAGUGGUAUACACGUUUGAACCAUUGAAUCAAACAUCUUAAUUGUCUUAGUUGAUUCUUAGAGAAGCUUAUGUUUGAAAUCUCUUUUGCAUUUUUGGUUGUAUUGGUUGUCAUCUUGUUAUUGUUGUUGUAUGCCCUUGUUUGUUUGCAAUUUCGAAGUGAUGAUGUCCACAAUUUGGCUGUCUUGUUCAUUUUUAUGAUAUUGUGUGUUUCUAUCAUUUAUGUUGUUCUUUUUAUUUUAUUGUGAAUUUGUCUCUUUAACCUAAUUUUUAGAAAGUACAUCUUCUCUCGUAAGAUAGUUAUUUAAAGCUACCUAUCUUGAUCUGAAACGUGUCUCACAUAGCCUGCUUGUUACGGUUGAAGCUGAAUAAUGCAUGAGUUUUUUAAGUUUUGUAAAUCUUAUGGCAUCUGCUUUGAGUGUGUUUCAUGUUACUUAUUCUUUCUUGGUCCUAUUCUCGUUGUGGUCUGACCUUGGUUAUUUAAAGAUUUAGAUUUUAUUCCUGUUGCAAUCAUCAUCAUGUAAAGUUUGCUUGCACUCGCUUUCUGAUCAGUCUAUUGUCUCUGUUUGAGCUCUUAGAAGUUAGAGUUGACUGCUAAGUUUAAGCUUUUUUUUUUUACUUGCUAUACUAAUGCUUUUUCGUUUAGUCAGUCGAAUUUCCAUGGAAUAAUACUGAGCUGGUGUUAAUUUUAAUAUUUGGUAUGGUCUUGUUUCCUGUAUACAAAGAUAUUACAACUACACAUUUAUUUGUGACAAUUGAUCUUGAUUAGAAAGCAUUUACUUACAUGCAGUGUGAGUGACUACAGUGUUUUUUUUGUUUGGUGUGUUUUAUUUAAGUGUAAAGAUCGUAUAGCUGGUUAUGCUUGACAUUUCUGUUUUGAUUAAAUUAUGUUUGGUGUUCACAUUGUUGAAAGAGCAAAGUAUGUCUUCUCUGACUAGUGUAGAAUGAUUAGUAAAAUGAGUGUCUUGUCGGAUGUUUGAUUCUUAGAGAAGCUUAUGUCUGAAAUCUGACAUGCCUGGUCUUGAUGUGAUCCAUUUGUCUGAUGGAAAGAUAGGAAUGGUCGAACUAUCUACCCACAUUAACUUGAAAUCCCGCAUUAUAUAGCAAGUACAUGUUGUUUUCGAUGAAGAACCAACCUCUCCUAAAAUUUCAAAACUAGCACAAUCUCCAAUGCAAGUUUACAAUAUCCCAUAAAAUUUAGCUGAUGACACAUCGACAAAACUAGAACAAUCUUCUAUAAAAUGUCACUCUUCUUAAAGAUAAAAUAAAACUUCUGUGAAUGCUUUAUGUCAUUUGAUAUUGAAUUUAAUAGUAUAGUUUGUUGAUUAUGGGAAAGACUUCCGACCUGACGAAGUAAACUUGGUCUAGCAAGAGACAUGCAUUUUUCUCUUUUUUUUUUUUUUUGGCUCAAUAUCAACUUUUUAUUAACUAAAAUAUUAUAACCAAAUCCACAUUAUAUUCACCUCAAAAACUUAGACCAAAACAAAUACAAUGCUUGAUCAAGUAUAAUCUUGUAACACUAGACAAAUCUAACGCUAACUAAUUGAGAAUCAUUGUAUUUUUUUAACUAAAGUAAAAUAGAUAACACACCACAACUAUAUGAAAUCAUUCCUUAAAUCACCUAAAUUAAUCUAAUGACACGAAAACAAAUACUAACACAAAGAAAACCAAAAACUACUAGUGAAAACGAUCAAAUCCCAGCUAUAAGAACUUCUGGAUCAACAUGUAGAAUUUGUUUCAAUAGCUUAAACACCCAAAGCGCAUCAUUAAAAGAGUUUGGUCUCUCCGGCUUUCACUGUUCUGGUCCUAAAUCUAAAACGGAUAAUACAUCCGAUUGACCCGACCAAGAGACACAAAACACCACCAGCAAGAGCUACAACUUUUCCAAACUAAUCACACAAAAAAAACCCGAAUGCUAAUCUUCUUAAGAUAAAGAAUUGAAGCACAAAUUAGCAUAUCAUCACCUCCUCGUGCAUAACUGGAAAGGCCAUAUCGCUGAUGCCUUGUUGUCUCGCUUCUUAGCCGGUAUAACACCAGAAAUUGAGGAAGCUCUUGAGAAAGCGUCGGCUAUGAGGGUGUCCGCAAAUCUCGGCCACCGGCACACCUGAAGCCUCCCCAACAACCGGUAGACUCUAAACAACCCGACUCACCCAUACAUCUCCGAUCUACUAGCAUCUCCGGCAGAGGGGUGGAGGAAACAGGAGGUCGCGAUCCGAAACUCAGAUCCAACUCCCCUAAGCUGCAAGGAAGGUUGCCCGGAGCAGCUUCGAACCACCACCAGUCUUCGGAGAGGAAGGCGAGCCGAGAUCUCGUCGUCCGCCACACCGUCACGACGCAACGGUUGGACUGCUCAGUACGCCGGGGAGGAAGAGAGCGGGUCACUACUGGAACGACUCGACUGGGACGACAAGCUAAAGAAGGAAAACAGGGCCCUCUCACACCGCCGGCGAAGCCUUGGGCGGCGGAGAGGCAAACGAAACCAGCGGCGCUAGGGUUUGGAGGAGACUCGCGAGAGAGAAAACACGGGGCUUUUUUUUUUUUUUUUUUUUUUUUUUUU